This 73-nucleotide transfer RNA is filed under the name Ixodes scapularis (black-legged tick). Its description in RNAcentral is "tRNA-Ser". Lineage: Eukaryota; Metazoa; Arthropoda; Arachnida; Ixodida; Ixodidae. The record is from RNAcentral.
UCCUGGUUAGCUCAGUUGGCAGAGCACUGCACAGGAAAGGGAGAGGUCCCUGGUUCGAUACCAGGACCAGGCG